AUGUGGAUCAGAAAGAUCACAUACUCGUGCCUCCUGUUUACUGACGAUACUGCGCCCCACAGUGGAGGACUCCAGAAACUGCACCCUGGACACACACUGCUGGAGCUGCACGACAGAGUUCCAUCUCGAAGCGCAUGUGGACCUAUCACAGAGAAGAAGACGGUGAGAACACAGCAGCAGGGGAACACCUGCGCGUUGGGCAACACCUGUUGCUGCUGCUGUAUUUUGGCGGAGAGCGUGGUGACUUCCUGCGCCCUCUCGCUGGCCUGGCUCUCCAGGAGUCGGAGCUGCUUCUUGAGGUCGGGGAGCGACUCGGAGGCGAGAUGGAUGGGCAGGCUGAGGUCACGGAUCUGGGCGCACAGCUCCUCCUUCUGCUGCUGCAGAUGUUCCGUCUCUGUCUGGCUGUCCUGCACGCAGCCACGCAAACAGGUCAGCAGUCAGAGCAUGUCCACGGAUAAUGAAUGUUUAAAGGUGACGCUUGUGUGGCAACGUCAAUAAAACAGCAGAAGAAAUUGAUUCAACUAGGAAAUUGGUACGUUUUGAAUAUUUUAUAACACUCUGGAACAGCAUCUCCAAAUCAGUGUGUCCAUAUUUACACAACUAUCCAUUAGAUUCCUUUCUGCCAUACAUAUUAGAAUAGACUGUAGGUUUAGAUU
This 656-nucleotide long non-coding RNA is filed under the name Takifugu rubripes (torafugu). RNAcentral's name for it is "lncRNA (ENSTRUG00000026826.1)". The record is from RNAcentral. Lineage: Eukaryota; Metazoa; Chordata; Actinopteri; Tetraodontiformes; Tetraodontidae.